This 460-nucleotide ribosomal RNA is filed under the name uncultured bacterium. Its description in RNAcentral is "partial 16S ribosomal RNA". It matches the Rfam family "Bacterial small subunit ribosomal RNA", at positions 338 to 795 of the family's 1533-position model. The record is from RNAcentral.
CCUACGGGAGGCAGCAGUGAGGAAUAUUGGUCAAUGGGCGAGAGCCUGAACCAGCCAAGUAGCGUGAAGGAUGACUGCCCUAUGGGUUGUAAACUUCUUUUAUAUGGGAAUAAAAUGUUCCACGUGUGGGAUUUUGUAUGUACCAUAUGAAUAAGGAUCGGCUAACUCCGUGCCAGCAGCCGCGGUAAUACGGAGGAUCCGAGCGUUAUCCGGAUUUAGUGGGUUUAAAGGGAGCGUAGGUGGGUUGUUAAGUCAGUUGUGAAAGUUUGCGGCUCAACCGUAAAAUUGCAGUUGAAACUGGCAGUCUUGAGUACAGUAGAGGUAGGCGGAAUUCGUGGUGUAGCGGUGAAAUGCUUAGAUAUCACGAAGAACUCCGAUUGCGAAGGCAGCUUACUGGACUGCAACUGACAUUGAGGCUCGAAAGUGUGGGUAUCAAACAGGAUUAGAUACCCUUGUAGUC